CCCAGUUCGGAUUGUAGUCUGCAACCGACUACAUGAAGCUGGAAUCGCUAGUAAUCGCGAAUCAGAAUGUCGCGGUGAAUACGUUCCCGGGUCUUGUACACACCGCCCGUCACACCAUGGGAGUCGGAAAUGCCCGAAGUCAGUGACCCAACCGUAAGGAGGGAGCUGCCGAAGGUGGAGCCGGUAACUGGGGUGAAGUCGUAACAAGGUAAC
Molecule: ribosomal RNA, 213 nt
Filed under: uncultured bacterium
Lineage: Bacteria
Description: partial 16S ribosomal RNA
Rfam family: Bacterial small subunit ribosomal RNA
Source: RNAcentral